Molecule: ribosomal RNA, 325 nt
Filed under: uncultured eukaryote
Lineage: Eukaryota
Description: partial 18S ribosomal RNA
Rfam family: Eukaryotic small subunit ribosomal RNA
Source: RNAcentral
CCCUUAGAUGUUCUGGGCUGCACGCGCGCUACACUGAUACUUUCAGCGAGUCCACCACCUUGCCUGGGAGGGUGGGGUAACCUCUGGAAAGUGCAUCGUGAUGGGGAUCGAUUAUUGUAAUUAUUAAUCUUCAACGAGGAAUUCCUAGUAAGCAUGUGUCAUCAGCCCGUGCUGAUUACGUCCCUGCCCUUUGUACACACCGCCCGUCGCACCUACCGAUUGAAUGGUCCGGUGAAAUCUCCGGACUGGCGUGAGUCGGAGCAAUCUGACAAACACCGGAAAGUUGAUUAAACCUUACCAUUUAGAGGAAGGUGAAGUCGUAACA